Molecule: long non-coding RNA, 1148 nt
Organism: Ruditapes philippinarum (Manila clam)
Lineage: Eukaryota; Metazoa; Mollusca; Bivalvia; Venerida; Veneridae
Exons: 4
Source: RefSeq, a predicted model, not a curated record
GCAUGGAGUGCCUGUGACUUUUUGUAGGGGAAAAGAUAGGGCAAUAAAUUAGAAAAGGGGGGAACCUGAAAUCAGAUUCAAACAUGUGAAAAUGGUAUUUACCUUCAUAUUUGUGAAAGAAGAAAUUAUUUCAAUUUAAUUUGCCAUGUGUGGCUAUUGUGGGGAAAUGCUUUUUCCUUGAUUAAAGGAAAAUGUUACAAAAGUUGGGUUGAUAAUAGACACAUGUUAUUUUAUAUAAAGGUGACACAUGUUUUGUUUAGCACUAUUUAGGACGUUUGGGUGGUUAAGAUUUAAUAGAUUGUUUUAUCCUUUUUUAGGCAUAAUGUGCUUGUGAAGUAAAGUUAAGUGUAGAUGUGUUUAUGGAGUUAAAGCAUUGGUAUUGGCACAACUAAGGCGUUGGGAGGCACAGAUAUAGCGAAGUGUUCAGGUUUGGCUUUGUUUGUGGAGUUGAAGAGUCAUUAUUGGCAAAUUUGGAACAUUGGUAGAUUGGGAUAUAGUAAAGUGUGCGUGUUAUUGGCAAAUGUAGAACAUAGGAAGAUAAGGUUAUAGUGCAUUGUGCAGGCACUCCACCAUGCACUCUUGAUGUAGAGUACUCCUACCCUUUGGAUUAUGCCCAGCAAGUGCACUAUCCCAAUUCCCUAUUCUCAAUAUGUUGGUUCAAUAUAUUUUAGGACCCCAAGAAAGUUCCAUGCGAUUUGUGUUUGUGCAGAGGGAUCAGGACUUCAUGGAAGUGUCAGUCUCAACAUGCUCUGGAAAGUGGAGAAACAAUGCAACAGGUUGCCAGUAUUGUCCUGCAGUCAUCAAGACAUGGUCACAAUAUCCCACUGCUUAUAAAUGAUCUAAAAAGCCAUUGAAAGUCAUUUUAAUAGUAAAACCCCUGAGGCCUGCUGCUAUAAGGACUAAUGCUAUAUUGACUAGUGUGUGGAUCAUAUUAAUUAAUGGUUGCCUAUGUCAGCUUACCAGUAACUUACUUCCAUAAUGUUAAAACAUUUCAUGUGAUUGUGUUUUGUGUAAUACAACAUUUGUCAUGUCACUUUAAGUAUAGAAUUGCAUUGAACCUAUGCAUUUUAUGAAUUGAUCAACUGUAAUCCUGUCUUUAUAAGUUUUUAAAGUCUUGAUUUCAAGAUAAAUAAACAGUUUUAGUUGUU